RNAcentral lists this long non-coding RNA (846 nucleotides) under Equus caballus (horse). RNAcentral's name for it is "lncRNA (ENSECAG00000050951.1)". The record is from RNAcentral. Lineage: Eukaryota; Metazoa; Chordata; Mammalia; Perissodactyla; Equidae.
CAAAUAUGUAUCAAACAUGGUUCUCAGCUCCGGGGAUGUAGCAGGGAAGAAAACAGAUGAACAUUCCUGCCUUCUUGGAAUUUACAUUCCAUGGAGAGAAGCAGACAAUAAAGAAGCUUUUAUUGAUCAUCUUCUAUAUGCCAGUCACUAAGCAGGUUCUGAAGAUACAGAGGGGACAAGAAAGACAUGAUCUUUACCUACAAGGACUGACAGCCUGGAAAGACCACCAAAAAAUAGACCAUCUCUGGGAUAUGAAGAGUCAACCGGAAGUAGGUGCCCUGGUCCUGACAGCUCCAACCUGGAUGACAUCCCUUUACUGACUCAGUCCAGGCCUCCUGAGUGUCCUAAUUCUUUACAAUCCAGUUACUCUCAUCGCCUCCUUUCAGAUCUCAAAGGAUUUGAAAGAAUUUUGAUUUCAUCCCAUCUAAAAUGAGUUCCCUCUGGCAAGAAUGAAGAAUGCUGUAGUGGACUUUUACCCCAAGCACAGGGAUGCAAAAUAAAUAAAUCCAAUUCCUGUUUUCAAGAGGUCACAGUCUAGAAGAGAAAAUUACGAUUUACUGUGGUCUGGAUAAAGCUCGAGCCACUCCACCCCAGCAGUGAUUUCAGAGGAGACGGGAAAUGUGAAGAGUCUGCUUAACUCCUCAAACUCAAUGGGCUUAUACAUUUUCAGGAAGGUUGGCUGGGAAGCAGUUUGAAAGAAUAUGAAAUCCAAGGGUCCCUUCCAUCACCCCAGUGUGAUGAAGAAAAAGUGCCCUGGCAUCUGAUGGACAUAGGUCCAACUUUUUUUUUUUUUCUGCUUUAUCUCCUCAAAUCCCCCGGUACACAGUUGUAUAUCUUAGUUGCAGG